Molecule: ribosomal RNA, 352 nt
Filed under: uncultured bacterium
Lineage: Bacteria
Description: bacterial SSU rRNA
Rfam family: Bacterial small subunit ribosomal RNA
Source: RNAcentral
GGUGGUGCAUGGUUGUCGUCAGCUCGUGUCGUGAGAUGUUGGGUUAAGUCCCGCAACGAGCGCAACCCUUAUUAUCAGUUGCCAGCAUUAAGUUGGGCACUCUGGUGAGACUGCCGGUGACAAACCGGAGGAAGGUGGGGAUGACGUCAAAUCAUCAUGCCCCUUAUGACCUGGGCUACACACGUGCUACAAUGGGAAGUACAACGAGUUGCGAAGUCGCGAGGCUAAGCUAAUCUCUUAAAGCUUCUCUCAGUCCGGAUUGUAGGCUGCAACUCGCCUACAUGAAGCCGGAAUCGCUAGUAAUCGCGGAUCAGCACGCCGCGGUGAAUACGUUCCCGGGUCUUGUACACAC